RNAcentral lists this ribosomal RNA (363 nucleotides) under uncultured bacterium. RNAcentral's name for it is "bacterial SSU rRNA". It matches the Rfam family "Bacterial small subunit ribosomal RNA", at positions 29 to 417 of the family's 1533-position model. The record is from RNAcentral.
AGCGAACGCUGGCGGCAGGCCUAACACAUGCAAGUCGAGCGGCCGUAGCAAUACGGCAGCGGCAGACGGGAGAGUAACACGUGGGAACGUGCCCUUUGGUUCGGAAUAACGCAGGGAAACUUGCGCUAAUACCGGAUAAGCCCUUACGGGGAAAGAUUUAUCGCCAAUGGAGCGGCCCGCGUCUGAUUAGCUAGUUGGUGAGGUAACGGCUCACCAAGGCUACGAUCAGUAGCUGAUCUGAGAGGAUGAUCAGCCUCACUGGGACUGAGACACGGCCCAGACUCCUACGGGAGGCAGCAGUGGGGAAUAUUGGACAAUGGGCGCAAGCCUGAUCCAGCAAUGCCGCGUGAGUGAGGAAGGCCU